CCACUGUCCACAACUGGAAGAGAGAGAACACAACAACAAUUUUUCGUCCCUCUGAAAUCGGGAUUCAUACUGGCUGAUUCUUUCGUUCUGCGAAAGCUACCGGAAAUAACUACCCUUCCUCGCUCAUUCAUCACCCGGUUGACGAUGGCUUCCCAGCAUUCCGUAGCGCAGAGCUACGCGUUUCCAUAUGCUAUGCCCAUGGCCGGGUAGGAUCUUUCUGCAAGAAUCAUCAUAGGUCAUCAUGGAUAUGAAUCGGUUUUCUUUUCUCACCGUUUGUAAGUUCAAUAAAGUUCAAUAAAGAUAAUGUAAAAAA
This is a long non-coding RNA of Uranotaenia lowii, 313 nucleotides long. RefSeq lists it as uncharacterized. The record is from RefSeq and is a predicted model, not a curated record. NCBI's taxonomy places the organism in Eukaryota, Metazoa, Arthropoda, Insecta, Diptera, Culicidae. The transcript is spliced from 2 exons.